This 2496-nucleotide small RNA is filed under the name Pan troglodytes (chimpanzee). RNAcentral's name for it is "processed transcript". Lineage: Eukaryota; Metazoa; Chordata; Mammalia; Primates; Hominidae. The record is from RNAcentral.
ACUUGAGAGAGAGAAUUGUGUCUCCCCUAUGAAGAUGGAUUGCUUGAGACAGAGUUCAAUAGAUGAUGUUAAACAGAUAAGCUGAGGGCAGGGAGACUGAGCUUUGGAAGAGGGCCUUUCAGGCAGCGAGGCCGCUGGCCUGUGGCUCCCUCUGAUGAGCUUCUUCUAAAGAUGAUAAGGGCUGGGGGAAGAGCUUGGCAGCAGGGGCUGCACUCUCUCUCAGCUGUGUCUAUCUUGGCCAAGGGUUUUAUGUUCCUAUUGGUAGGGGAUUCGAGAGCAGAGAGCGUCACCAAUACACUCGUGUUGUUCACCAUAGGAGAAGAGUCCCUGACCAUUUUUGUGGACAAGCGGAAACUGGGAAGAAAGACAGAGACAACAGGAGGUGCCUCUAUAAUCGGGGGCAGUGGGAACAGCACAGCUGUGUCCCUGGAGACCCUGCACCAGCUGGCCGCCUCCUACUUCAUCGACAGAGAGAGCACGCUGCGACGGCUGCACCAUAUCCAGAUAGCCACGGGGGCCAUCAAGGUCACCGAGACCAGGACCGGUCCUCUGGGCUGCAGCAACUAUGACAAUCUGGACUCAGUCAGUUCUGUCUUGGUACAGAGUCCAGAGAACAAAGUACAGUUACUUGGCCUUCAGGUGCUGCUGCCUGAGUAUCUGCGUGAGCGCUUUGUAGCUGCAGCACUCAGCUACAUCACGUGCAGCUCUGAGGGUGAGCUCGUCUGCAAGGAGAAUGACUGCUGGUGCAAGUGCAGCCCCACCUUCCCUGAAUGCAACUGCCCUGAUGCUGACAUCCAGGCCAUGGAGGACAGCCUGCUGCAGAUCCAGGACUCCUGGGCCACUCACAACCGGCAGUUUGAAGAGUCAGAAGAGUUCCAGGCCCUGCUGAAAAGGCUGCCCGAUGACCGGUUCCUGAACUCCACAGCUAUCUCCCAGUUCUGGGCCAUGGACACCAGCCUUCAGCACCGCUACCAGCAGCUGGGAGCUGGCUUGAAAGUGCUGUUCAAAAAGACCCAUCGGAUCGUCCGCCGGCUCUUCAACCUCUGCAAGCGCUGCCAUCGCCAGCCUCGCUUCCGCCUGCCCAAGGAGAGGUCCUUGUCCUACUGGUGGAACCGAAUCCAGUCCCUCCUCUACUGUGGGGAAAGCACCUUUCCUGGCACUUUCCUGGAACAGAGCCACAGCUGCACCUGCCCCUAUGACCAAUCUUCCUGCCAGGGCCCCAUCCCAUGUGCCUUGGGCGAAGGGCCCGCGUGUGCCCACUGUGCUCCAGACAAUAGCACACGCUGUGGGAGCUGCAACCCGGGCUAUGUGCUGGCCCAGGGGCUGUGCCGGCCAGAGGUGGCCGAGUCCCUGGAAAACUUUCUUGGGCUGGAGACAGACUUGCAGGACCUGGAGCUAAAGUACCUGCUGCAGAAGCAGGAUAGCCGCAUUGAGGUACACUCCAUCUUCAUCAGCAAUGACAUGCGGCUGGGCAGCUGGUUUGACCCUUCCUGGAGGAAGCGCAUGCUGCUCACCCUGAAAAGCAACAAGUACAAGCCUGGGCUGGUGCACGUGAUGUUGGCCUUGUCUUUGCAGAUCUGUCUCACCAAGAACAGCACCCUGGAGCCUGUCAUGGCUAUCUACGUCAACCCUUUUGGGGGCAGCCACUCUGAGAGCUGGUUCAUGCCUGUGAAUGAGGGCAGCUUUCCUGACUGGGAAAGGACUAACGUGGAUGCAGCUGCCCAGUGCCAAAACUGGACUAUCACCUUGGGGAAUAGGUGGAAGACUUUCUUUGAGACAGUUCAUGUUUACCUACGGAGCCGAAUCAAGUCCCUGGAUGACAGCUCCAAUGAGACAAUCUACUAUGAGCCCCUGGAGAUGACUGAUCCCUCUAAGAAUUUGGGUUACAUGAAAAUUAACACCUUGCAGGUCUUUGGCUACAGCCUGCCCUUUGACCCAGAUGCUAUCCGGGACUUAAUUCUCCAGUUGGACUACCCAUAUACUCAAGGUUCCCAGGACUCUGCACUCUUGCAGCUCAUUGAGCUCAGGGACCGGGUGAACCAGCUUUCUCCACCUGGCAAAGUCCGACUUGACCUUUUCUCCUGCUUGCUCCGGCAUCGGCUUAAGCUGGCCAACAAUGAGGUGGGCAGGAUCCAGUCCUCCCUGAGGGCUUUCAAUUCUAAGCUGCCAAACCCUGUGGAAUAUGAGACCGGCAAACUCUGUAGCUAAUGGGUGGCCCACUUCAGCACUGGGCAAGGAGGGGAUCCACGAAUCUGGGGUACAAAGAUAAUCUAAGCCCUCACCUUAGUGCCAACAGGGUGCGCUCCCACGAGACUUUCAGCAUCCAGUAGAUGGGACCUCGAGGCUCGAGCUGAAGCAGGCGAGAGAGAAACAGCUACUGCGUGCGUGCGCGCACACAUACACACACACACACACACACACUGGCACAGGGAGGCUACAACUAAGCAGCCUCAGAUCUGUAAAGUUGAUUGGUGCUUUGUAAAAUGAAUGCAAUUG